AGCUCCAAUAGCGUAUAUUAAAGUUGUUGCAGUUAAAAAGCUCGUAGUUGAAUUUUUGGCGGAUGCUGCUGUCCAAUUUGGUACAAGCGGUGUCUGCCAUGUUUGAGUGGAACUUGUCUGGCAUUAGGUUGUCGGGCAGGGGAGGCUCAUCGUUUACUGUGAAAAAUUAGAGUGUUCCAAACAGGCUUAUGCCGUUGAAUAUAUUAGCAUGGAAUAAUGAGAUAGGACUUUGGUACUAUUUUGUUGGUUUGCGCACCGAAGUAAUGAUUAACAGGGACAGUUGGGGGUAUUCGUAUUCCAUUGUCAGAGGUGAAAUUCUUGGAUUUCUGGAAGACGAACUACUGCGAAAGCAUUUACCAAGGAUGUUUUCA
RNAcentral lists this ribosomal RNA (371 nucleotides) under uncultured eukaryote. Its description in RNAcentral is "SSU rRNA". It matches the Rfam family "Eukaryotic small subunit ribosomal RNA", at positions 587 to 972 of the family's 1831-position model. The record is from RNAcentral.